RNAcentral lists this ribosomal RNA (514 nucleotides) under Pseudopaludicola mineira (Minas swamp froglet). RNAcentral describes it as "partial 16S ribosomal RNA". It matches the Rfam family "Bacterial large subunit ribosomal RNA", at positions 1922 to 2596 of the family's 2925-position model. The record is from RNAcentral. Lineage: Eukaryota; Metazoa; Chordata; Amphibia; Anura; Leptodactylidae.
GUUCAACGGCCGCGGUAUCCUAACCGUGCGAAGGUAGCGCAAUCACUUGUUCUUUAAAUAAGGACUAGUAUGAAUGGCACCACGAAGGUUAUACUGUCUCCUUUUUCUAAUCAGUGAAACUAAUCUUCCCGUGAAGAAGCGGGAAUAACCAUAUAAGACGAGAAGACCCUAUGGAGCUUUAAACUAAGUAACAAAUAUCUUCUCAAAACUAAAUAUCAAAAUUAACCAGAUAUUAUGAUUACUAGUUUUAGGUUGGGGUGACCAUGGAGAAUAACUCAACCUCCAUGCCGAAAUGACUAAUAAAAUCUAAGCUACGAACAACAGUUCCAAGCAUCAAUACCUUGACGUCUAUUGACCCAAUUUUUGAUCAACGAACCAAGUUACCCUAGGGAUAACAGCGCAAUCCACUUCAAGAGCUCAUAUCGACAAGUGGGUUUACGACCUCGAUGUUGGAUCAGGGUAUCCUAGUGGUGCAGCCGCUACUAAAGGUUCGUUUGUUCAACGAUUAAAACCC